Molecule: ribosomal RNA, 914 nt
Filed under: uncultured Nitrososphaerota archaeon
Lineage: Archaea; Thermoproteati; Nitrososphaerota
Description: bacterial SSU rRNA
Rfam family: Archaeal small subunit ribosomal RNA
Source: RNAcentral
UUCCGGUUGAUCCCGCCGGACCUGACUGCUAUCGGAUUGAUACUAAGCCAUGCGAGUCAUUGUAGCAAUACAAGGCAGACGGCUCAGUAACGCGUAGUCAACCUAACCUAUGGACGGGAAUAACCUCGGGAAACUGAGAAUAAUGCCCGAUAGAACACUAUAUCUGGAAUGGUUUGUGUUCCAAAUGAUUUAUCGCCGUAGGAUGGGACUGCGGCCUAUCAGUUUGUUGGUGAGGUAAUGGCCCACCAAGACUAUUACAGGUACGGGCUCUGAGAGGAGUAGCCCGGAGAUGGGUACUGAGACACGGACCCAGGCCCUAUGGGGCGCAGCAGGCGAGAAAACUUUGCAAUGUGCGAAAGCACGACAAGGUUAAUCCGAGUGGUUUGUGCUAAACGAACCUUUUGUCGGUCCUAGAAACACCGAUGAAUAAGGGGUGGGCAAGUUCUGGUGUCAGCCGCCGCGGUAAAACCAGCACCUCAAGUGGUCAGGAUGAUUAUUGGGCCUAAAGCAUCCGUAGCCGGCGCUAUAAGUUUUCGGUUAAAUCUGUACGCUCAACGUACAGGCUGCCGGGAAUACUGUAGCGCUAGGGAGUGGGAGAGGUAGACGGUACUCGGUAGGAAGGGGUAAAAUCCUUUGAUCUAUUGAUGACCACCUGUGGCGAAGGCGGUCUACCAGAACACGUCCGACGGUGAGGGAUGAAAGCUGGGGGAGCAAACCGGAUUAGAUACCCGGGUAGUCCCAGCUGUAAACUAUGCAAACUCAGUGAUGCAUUGGCUUGUGGCCAAUGCAGUGCUGCAGGGAAGCCGUUAAGUUUGCCGCCUGGGAAGUACGUACGCAAGUAUGAAACUUAAAGGAAUUGGCGGGGGAGCACCACAAGGGGUGAAGCCUGCGGUUCAAUUGAGUUCAACGCCCGG